CCUACGGGUGGCUGCAGUGGGGAAUAUUGCACAAUGGGGGAAACCCUGAUGCAGCGACGCCGCGUGAGUGAAGAAGUAUUUCGGUAUGUAAAGCUCUAUCAGCAGGGAAGAAAAUGACGGUACCUGACUAAGAAGCCCCGGCUAACUACGUGCCAGCAGCCGCGGUAAUACGUAGGGGGCAAGCGUUAUCCGGAUUUACUGGGUGUAAAGGGAGCGUAGGUGGCAUGGUAAGCCAGAAGUGAAAACCAGGGGCUCAACCCAAGAAAUGCUCUUAAUACUGGUUUUCUAGAGUGUGGGAGAGGUAAGUGGAAUUCCUAGUGUAGCGGUAGAAUGCGUAGAGAUUAGGAGGAACAUCAGAGGCGAAGGCGGCUUACUGGACCAUAACUGACGCUGAGGCUCGAAAGCGUGGGGAGCAAACAGGAUUAGAUACCCUGGUAGUC
This 440-nucleotide ribosomal RNA is filed under the name uncultured bacterium. RNAcentral describes it as "partial 16S ribosomal RNA". It matches the Rfam family "Bacterial small subunit ribosomal RNA", at positions 338 to 795 of the family's 1533-position model. The record is from RNAcentral.